Molecule: long non-coding RNA, 1392 nt
Organism: Oncorhynchus tshawytscha (Chinook salmon)
Lineage: Eukaryota; Metazoa; Chordata; Actinopteri; Salmoniformes; Salmonidae
Source: Ensembl
GUUUGCAUGGCCACAGUCACGGUCAACAGGAGGGGACUGAACACACACCCUUGUGGGGCUCCAGUGUUGAAGAUCAGCGAAGUGGAGAUGUUUCCUACCUUCACCACCUGGGGGCAGCCCGUCAGGAAGUCCAGGACCCAGUUGCACAGGUGGGGUUCAGACCCAGGGCCUCCAGCUUAAUGAUGAGCUUGGAGGGUACUAUGGUUUUGAAUGCUGAGCUGUAGUCAAUGAAAUGCAUUCUUACAUUUUAUUUAACUAGGAAAGUCGGUUAACAAAUUCUUAUUUACAAUUACAGCCUAGGAACAGUGGGUUAACUGCCUUGUUCAGGGGGCAAAAGGACAGAUUUGUACCUUUUAGGUUACUGGCCCAACGCUCUAACCACUAGGCUACCGCCGCAAACAGGUAUUCAUCUAGUCCACAUGGGAUAGGGCCGUGUGAUGGCGAUUGAAGUGGUGAUAUGACCCUUGACUCAAAGCACUUCAUGAUGACAGAAGUGAAUGCUAUGGGGCGAUAGUCAUUUAUUUAUCCAUCAGUUAUUUUACCAGGUAAAUUGACUGAGAACACAUUCUCAUUUGCAGCAAAGACCUGGGGAAUAGUUACAGGGGAGAGGAGGGGGAUGAAUGAGCCAAUUGUAAACUGGGGAUUAUUAGGUGACCAUGAUGGUUUGAGGGCCAGAUUGGGAAUUUAGCCAGGACACUGAGGUUAACACCCCUACUCUCACAAUAAGUGCCAUGGGACCUUUAGUGACCUCAGAGAGUCAGGACACCCGUUUAACAUCCCAUCUGAAAGACUGCACCCUACACAGGGCAGUGUCCCCAAUCACUAACCUGGGGCAUUGGGAUAUUUUUUAGACCAGAGGAAUGAGUGCUUCCUACUGGCCCUCCAACACCACUUCCAGCAGCAUCUGGUCUCCCAUCCAGGAACUGACCAGGACCAACCCUGCUUAGCUUCAGAAGCAAGCCAGCAGUGGUAUGCUCAGUUACCUUAGCUUUCUUGGGAACAGGAACAAUGCCCUCUUGAAGCAUGUGGGGACAGGAGACUGGGAUAGGGAUUGAUUGAAUAUGUCUGUAAACACCAUAAACUACAAUUUAUAUUCCCAGUCACCUUGGUUAAAUGCGGUGGUUCUUUCAGUUUUGCGCAAAAUGCUGCCAUCUGUUUCUGGUUAGGGUAGGUUUUAAUAGUCACAGCAGGUAAACAUAGGUAACAGUAGGUAAACAUAGGUAGCAGUAGGUAAACAUAGGUAGUAGUAGUACAACAUCUCCUAUAUACUUCCUGAUGAACUCACCCUAUCAGUGUAUUCGUCUGUGUUAUUCUCGGAGGCUACCCAGAACACAUCUCAGUCCGCGUGAUCAAAACAAUCUGUGUUAUUCUCGGAGGCAGAACAUAUCUCAG